AUGUACCUCAGAUAUCUCCUCCUCACUGCCUCCUGAGGCAACCACUGGGCACCGUGGGACAGAUCACUGUCACCCAGCAAGAAGGAGAAGUCACAGUGAAGCAGAGAGACACCUUCCAGACAACCUGCACCUACCAGAGCUCCUUCUUUCAAGGCUUGCUCUGGUACCAGCAGAGGAAAGGCCAAGGUCCCCACCUGGUUUCUUCUCAGGUCGCAGCUGGCCGCAAGCACAGUGGACGUUUCACAACUGAACUGAACACCACGGGGCAAUACAGCCUCCUGCAGCUGGAGGAAGUCGAGGUCUCUGACAGUGCCUUGUACCUCUGUGCUGUGCAAGACACCCUGACUGGAGUGACAUUGGCUUUCCUCACGUCCUCGGGCACCUUGCCUGUUCUCCAGGACCUUUCAAAGAUGAUGGAGAGCGGCUCAGCAAUGGCUUCUUCCAGCUCCCUCAGCACUCAUGGGUGA
This is a non-coding RNA of Calidris pugnax (ruff), 467 nucleotides long. The record is from the annotation of a RefSeq genome assembly. Lineage: Eukaryota; Metazoa; Chordata; Aves; Charadriiformes; Scolopacidae.